This 292-nucleotide ribosomal RNA is filed under the name uncultured beta proteobacterium. Its description in RNAcentral is "partial 16S ribosomal RNA". It matches the Rfam family "Bacterial small subunit ribosomal RNA", at positions 501 to 792 of the family's 1533-position model. Lineage: Bacteria; Pseudomonadati; Pseudomonadota; Betaproteobacteria. The record is from RNAcentral.
CGCCCUUCCAGCAGCCGCGGUAAUACGUAGGGGGCCAGCGUUACCCAGAUUUACUGGGCGUAAAGCGCGUGUAGGCGGUUGGUCAAGUCGGGUGUGAAAGCCUGGGGCUCAGCUCCAGAAGUGCAUCCGAUACUAGCCAGCUAGAGCGCGAUAGAGGAGGGUGGAAUUCCCGGUGUAGCGGUGAAAUGCGUAGAGAUCGGGAGGAAGGCCGGUGGCGAAGGCGGCGCUCUGGAACGUUUCUGACGCUGAGGCUCGAAAGCGUGGGGAGCAAACAGGAUUAGAUACCCUGGUA